AGUCACAUGAUGUACAUGUGACUGUGCAGUGUGCACUGUCUGGAGGAGCAAGGCAAGCUGUCAUCAUGAGAAGAGUAGCAGCCAGCCUGUAGCAGCCUGUAGCUCUAGCAACAAGCCACAGAAGAGCUGAGACAGACGCACCUGUGAUGGGUUUAUAAAUUCAUUUGAGCAACUGCCAUUUUGUGCAUCACGAGAUGAAAAGAAAGAAAGAAAGAAAGAAAGAAAGAAAGAAAGAAAGAAAGAAAGAAAGAAAGAAAGAAAGAAAGAAAGAAAGAAAGAAAGAAAGAAAGAAAGAUUAACGUUAAUCUAGUGGCUCCCCUAUCGCACUAAUGGAUAGAAAGUACCCCGCGCCAACACUGGAAUGCUGAAUAACACAGGACCACUGAUUGUUGCCUGGAAAUAAAACACACUGUUCGCCGCUGAUGUAUGGGGUUGAGGAAAAGUGAUCGUUCUUCUAGGUAUAGGUGGCACCAUUUGAUCUCAGUUACAGGACACAGCAAAGGGAGAACAUUCAAUACUUUAAAUGUUCUUUAAAUUGCUUUUGUUGUUUGAACAUUUUUUUUCUAAGCAUUUUAUCACACAGUCACUGAGGAAUGUGGAAAGGGAAAGUUAAGUCCUAUGUAUUUUUUACAUUUGGUCAUGAUAACUGUCUGCCACAUAAAUUACU
Molecule: long non-coding RNA, 667 nt
Organism: Pseudophryne corroboree (corroboree frog)
Lineage: Eukaryota; Metazoa; Chordata; Amphibia; Anura; Myobatrachidae
Exons: 3
Source: RefSeq, a predicted model, not a curated record